GGCGGCGCGAGCCCCCGCCGGGCGGCCGGGGAAGGAGGGGAAGAUGGCGGAGUGAGGGGCGGAGGAGGCGGAGGGGCCGGGCCGCCCGCGGCCCCGCGGCCUCGGCCGCGCUCAGUGCUGACACAGGAGCGCACAAAGGGGAUGGUGUCCGAGUCAUUAGACAAAACCAGAACGUACGAAUAAUCCACAGUGCAAAACAAGUUUUAUGGAAAGUGGAGAGAUUACAAUGGAAUUUGUUUAGCCUUAUGAAUUCAUGUGAUAAUAAGGUGAAAAAGACUUAAGACACGAUGAAACCUGUGAAAGUAUUACUGAAACCACUGGCUCUUCAGCUCCCAGAAGAGAUUGUGGAUUGAUUAAAAAUAACGCUUUCCAGAUCUGUUUUUCCACAUCUUCAUAACAAGAAUAAGACUUUCCCAACAGUGUGAGCAUGGAUGGUCAACAAAAUGAUCAGCAGAAGUAUUUGAGUGCCUCAGAGAGAAAGAGAUGGUGAUAUGUACUGUAUUUCCAUUUUCAUGAUCUUCUUGCUGCUUCUAACGUAGGAGCUGAAAAUUGUCAGUGGAAGACUUUCUGAAUUCGAUCAACCAAGUGGUUAAGUUUGGGAUUCUAGAUCCUAUCCUGACAUCAAGAAGGUGGUCCUGUUACCUGCUCACAGACUGCAAGAUGUGGAUGUUUCUCUUCUAGCAAGCAAAAACCUGUCCUUCACUUCCAUGGAGCUGAAUGAACAAAGAUCUGUCCAGUUUCAGUCAUGUCACCAAACAUUUGGUUCACCAGAUGGUUUCUCCUACAGAAGUACCCCCACUGUUUUAUCAAAAUUCAAAAGCAGAGUAACAGAAAUCAGCAUUUGGUUUCCUGAAGAAAUGUCUUCUGUGCCAGCUCUUCAAACAGCUUUCUCCAUUCUGUUUUAAAAUGAGAAAUGCUUUGUAAUCAGAUGCAAGUGGAAGCUGGUGUUCUUCACUGAUAUUUCCUUCUUCAUUUUAGGAAGGUUUGGUACUUUGCUGUGUCAUAUUGGAUUUCCUAGCAGAUAAAGUGUCUGCAUGCAUUACUGUGUCAGACUCACUUGACAUAUAUGAAAAGUUGCAGCAGGAAAAAUUGCUCUGACAUGAGGAGGAAACUUACCAAACAACUGGGGACAUCCCAUACAGGUAUUUUCUAGUCCAGGACCCAGGCUUGACUUUGUAGAUAGAUGUCAAAUCACAUAAAGCAGCUAAUGCAAGAACAAGAACAAAUGCAGAAUCACCUUGUCUGUAGUGUGUAAAUGCAUUAUCCCAGUCUGUGAUCAAAAUGUAUAUUUGCAUGUGUAAACCUAUGUAAGUGCUGGAUAUGAAGAGGUUUCAACAGAAGGAGAAAUCACCCUGCACCAUUUAACUUUUAGCAAAGAAAAAUGAAGCUUUAAAGCCUUGAGGGUAACAAGAUAAUGAUUAGCUUUACGUUAAAUCAUUCCCUCCCUCUGGCUUUUUGUGAAUUCUUAGCAGCGAAAGGAACAAAACCAUUCUACUGUAGAAGAAAUAGGGCAGAACAUGUUUCUUUAUUAUAGAAAUUAACUUCAGGUGAGAUGAAGGAGACCACAAGUGUAAAGUUGUGGUUUAUCCACCUGGCUUCCUUGACACAGUUUCAGCUUUUCAUACUGCUGAUGGAAUCAGCUUUCUGAUUCUUUCGUGACUGAGAACUGAGAGGACCUGUAGAUUUUCAUUAUCUAGGCAGAAAUAGGCUGAAGAGAAUGGAAUGUUAGCCAUGUAAGGGGGUAAGUCGAGGUACAGCAAAAAUACUUAGGAUGGGCCUUUUUCUGGCUCUUCUCAUUCCUUCCCAAACUAAGGCACAAUCUGUUGUUCUUAUGUUUACACGAGAUUCUUUGUCUACAUCAUUUGUGCUUAUAUAGGAUGUUUUCUGUCAUUUUGAGAUGGGAGCAUAUAUUGUUUACGUGCUCCCUGCUAUGGUAUUGUUUAUGGCAAGUAAGAUUUCUUGGCAAAAAAACACCAGACCUGGGAUGUGUAUUGUAUUCCACUUCAAAUCUGAAGCUUUUCUUAGUGCACCUUAUUCCAAGCUUGUGAUUUAGAAAAUGUGACUUACUAGCUUAAAAUAAUGUUUUCAAAUCUGGAUAAGAUAAGGAUAUAUAGCUUCUAUUAAUAUGUUUUGGGAGAUACUAAAAUGGUUGAGGAGAUGUUCCAGAUUUCUUGUUUUGUUCUGUUUUGCCUUUUAGAAAACUGCUGGAGAGAGCCAAACAGCCUGAAAAUGGCUGAAAAAGCAAACAAUGGAAAUCCUUCUUAAAUCUUAAUGACAGCUUGUAAGGGCAGCAUUCUAAUAUUUAAAGUGUGGUGAUAUUUUAUGGGACCAAGUUCCAUAGCAGAGUGAGGACAAGUGUUGAUGUUGAUCCUGAUCUUCGUAGUAACGUCUGUGUUUAGACAUGCCUUGUAACAAUAAGGUUUAGUGACAGCUUUACCCAUUUUUUGUUCCCAUGAAGAAAAGAGCAGAUGUGUUAGCUAAAGGACGGGGGGCAAGACACUGUGUCUCAAAAUAAUGCCAACUGUAAUGAGCAGACAGGUGCACUAAAAUUGUGUCCAGCACUGUGCUGAGCUCUGCGAUAAGAGUUAACAUUAAUCUUGAGGCAACCAUCAGCUUGGUCUGACUUUUAAGAGCAUAGGAUUUCUUUGCUGAAUAUGGUCUGAAUUUUCUGGCAUUGGAGGCAACUAGAAAAGCACACUUCCUUUUAGGGCGUCCUUAUGUUGAAGCCAAUAGGAUUUAAUGUAGAUGUCUGUAGAAGCAGGAUCCAUCUCUAAGUGAUGGAAAACACUGUCAAUAUCAUAGGAUUAUAAAUCGUUGGGAAGUAUCUGGUAUAAGAAAUGUCUCAUUUUAGAUCUGGGAAUUUUCUUUUUUUCCUACUGCCCAUACUUACCCUUCUGCUAUUAGAGCUAGCAGUUGUUUCUUGCAUAGCUUGAUGACAAAAUACUUGGGGAACAGGAAGGUAUUUUUGUUUUCUGUGGACAUGUACAGAAAUUGCAAAUUUGUCUGCCUACAGAGUAGACACUUCAAGCUCUUCAAUUUCUUUUUCUUUAGGAAUAACACUUAAUGUUUUGUAACCCACAUUGUAACAAAAAAAAAGAAAAAAUUGUUGAUUUCUCCUGAAUCUUAUUGAUGACAAUGUAUCAGCUUUAGUUUUCAAGUUUAAUUUCAGAACAUCAAGAUUUUAUUAGGCUAAUGAUCUGUGGUUUUCACAGAAGUAAUAUUGCAAUAGUGCAUGUCCAGAAGACCCCAAUUGCUGUACCUUCCUGGCCAGCACUUUUAUAAAACUGCUGUGUUAGGAAAUGCUGCUUCAGCCUACUUACUUUUUCUUGCUCCACUUUUUCUCUGUGUUGGUUGGAAAUCUUCCCAUGUGAAAGAUUACAAAAACAAGGGGCACGUGCAAUAAAUCAUAUAUAUAUAUACAUAUAUAUAUUUUAAUACUUGUGGACAAAAUGAUGUUACAAGUUGUUUGAAAACAACAAAAUCACCAAUGUCUUCCAUUUUGAGAUGUGUAUAGUUCCAUAAGCAUUAGUGCUUUGUAGCAAACUGUAGUGCCAUGUUAGGAUCAAUGCAUGAGCCUAGUAGUAUUUUUACAAUUUCAGAGUGACAAAUUUAUUAGUAAACAGUGAUGAUAAUGUAAUUAACACUAGAAAGGAUACAAUAGAAAUGUCACAAACAUGGUCUAAACAUGCAGUAUCCUCCCUUUGACAAUGGCAAUGCUAUCCUUAAAACUGGAACGCAUUAACUUAAUGGGCUUCAUAGAAUCAUAGUUGACUUUUUGUUAUUUGUCUGUCUGUCCAACGGCAAUAGUAAGCUAGAGUAUGCAAGCGUCCAUCUCUAUCGGUGGGAUUCUUUUUAGUCUUUGUUGGUGUUUUCUUCCAUGUGCAGCAUUUUCAAUUUUAUUAUUAGCCAUCCCAUUAUAUACUCAGAAAAGUAUGAAUAUGCUAAGGAGUUUGUGUGCAUUCUGUACACAUCUCUGUUACCUUCAGAUCAUUUGCAAAAUCUGUGGAUCAAGUAAUUUUUUUUUCAGACUGACUAUAUGAUUAUUAUAGCUAGUUAAACAUUAUCCUCAUUAUGUGAUAAGUUAAUAGUUGCAAAAUGCGAUGUAGAAGACUUUUAUCCAUUAUUGCAGGAAUGGGGAACCUUUUUUGGCUGAAGUCCUAUUGAAUUUUACAAUAACUUUGGUGGAUCCUGCAUUUACAUACAUCUUAGUGUUAAUAAGAAUAAAGAAUAUAAUAAGGUCAAAGGCUGUUGAAAAAUGAUGUUGCAGACUGUAUCUGUACAGCAGACGAUCUCUAGCCAGUGGAUCAGAGAUUCCCCACCCCUGUAUUGUUGAGAAUUCACUAUCCUGUAUUUUAGAUAACUUCCAGUUUUGCUUUCCAGCUCUUGAGCUCAAUUUUAAUAAUUUCUGUUUCUCCCUCUGCUUUUCUCAGAAGGAAGGUUUAGACCGGGGAAGUCAAAAUGACUCAAUGGGCAGCUUGGACUGGUCAAAUAGAGGACUGGCAUUAUUCUUGAGAUGUGCAAUGCUCUGUGGAUGGCAUCCUCUGAUUUCCUAGGAAUAAGUCUUUUAUUUGGUGCCAGUGUUGCUUUUCACCCAUUUUCUCUCUUUUACAAGAACAAAAUUUUCUUUCAACUUAGAGAGGAUACUGCAUCUUUUUUUCCUGAGACCUGCCUGUAAAUGGCCAUUAGGGGGAGGGAGGGAACGGGUACUUGGUUUUGUAUUUUGGUACAAUGUCUCUAAAGUAAUUAAUCAAGAAGCAUGUACUUCUGUGCAAUGGCAGUAAUCCAUGCAGAGUUGAUGUAUGUAACAGGGAAAAAAAACCCAACAAAACCAAACUGACAAGCCUCUGCAUCUAAUAUAUUUCCAAGAAAAUUGGACAGAUGGGCCAUUUACAGCAGAGCUCUGGGGGACCUGUGCUGAAAGUCAGGUUCAAUUCUAAAUGGAAGUAGCUGUACCAUUGAAUAAAGUAGUUAGUUUUAAUGCUUGGGAGAAUCAAUUGAAAAAUACCUCUGAAACUGGAAUGCAAAAUAGCACAGUAUGUAGGGGGAAGAAUCCCUGAUGCAAACAAAGCCAUAAGAUGAUUUAAUAAGAAAAUAGAACUUUAGUAGCAAUAACUGUUUUGCAUGUGAUAGUAAAUAACUUGCAAAUUAGCAAGACUGUACAGUAGAGUAAGUGGGUAAUAACCAAAUAAGUUUGUGGCGCUCUGUGCUGCAGGGAGUUGUGUGAAGAGUCUUCCUGAGAAGAAAGGUAAAUUCUUCUUAUGUUCCUCUCAUUGGAGGGAAUUUGGCACUUGAAUACAAAGUUAAUGAAUUUGAUACAUAUAUAUAAAAAAGAAAAAUUAGCUUUGUCACAUCUGAAGCACUGUCAAUGAGUGCUAGGGGAAGGGCAGACAGUUCUUUUUGAAAGGAUAGCUGAAGUUUCCCUGUAUUUUUUUUCUUUUUAGUAGUCUAGCACUUGCUCUAUUUCUCUGAGAAGAAACUGAACCUUUCCAGAUGUUGGACUGUAAAGAGAACCUGAUUCUGAAGUUAGAGCUUUUAUUGUGUGAAGUCUUUUCUGCUCUUUUUUUUUUUUUUUUUUUUUUUUUGGUUGGUUGGUUGUGGUUUUUUUUUUGUUUGUUUUUGUUUAAAAAGGCCAAUCUGAGAUGGUCUUUAAAUAAAUAAAAAACAAACUAAAAAAAUUAGAGAGCACUUGACACUCAAAAUGUUUGUACAUGCCAGGCACAACUGUAGAAUUCUAAAAAUGUUACUUUACAGCAGGAAAUAAUUUUAACCUUGCUAAACACUGUUUCAGACCAUGGUUGAUUUCUGUCGAUGCCGGAAGUUUUGCAGGGGCAAGUACUGUGAAGCCUCUGGUAACACAAAGGGUUAUUGAUCUCCAGCUGUAGCCUCUGCACCCAGCUAAGUAUUUGCUGUCAAAGGGUUACAUAAAAGAGCCACAGGAAUUCUAAAGCAUUCCUAGUUGACGCUAUUUUCGGUCUAUAGAGACAAUAUGGCCCAACAGAUAAUAAUGUAUUCUGAACAGAAUUAUUUCACCAGCGGCUUACAUCUAUCCGGCUGGAUUUCUUCUGGAAAGCUAAAGUAAUUUAGGCUGUGACUUACAGCUGAAUGGAAGCUUGUGGUUUUGAAAGCAUGGAUGUGAAGCAGUUUGGCUCUUCAGAAAUUGAUAAUGGAACUGUGACAGCUGUGAGCAUUUUUAGUGUAUAAAGUAACAAGCAUGAGAAUGUCUAAAUUAAGUGUUGGCUAGUAUGUAAUAUGCAUAUGAAAAGCUAAUUGAUCUGGAAGGCUGUAAUCAGUAUAAAUUCCAGCUAUUGAAUUAUUGAUAAAAUUGGAAGCUGGCCAAAGGGGACCUUAAUUUGAUUGUUAUCUGAUUACAUUAGAGAAAUUAUAAAUUUAUUCUGGUCUGUGAUCAGCAAGUACAUUUACAUAAAGUGAAAUAAUGAAAACACAGUCACGUUGAUACUUCAGAAUUAUGAACUUUGUAGUGGAACAGAAUUCUUUAAGGCUAUAUCCGUUCAGAGAGGGGGAGAGGAAAUCAAGACUGAUGUAGCCAGGCAAGCUAUCUGCAUAUUCUUCCCAGUUCAGGCUUUUUAUAAUGAUCUGUAUUCUAUGGGCUACUAGACUAGAAAUUACUAUUCACAGCAAGAAAAGGAAUCCCUUUGCCUUUCAGCUCUUGUACAGUGGCAUGACUUUUCCUUCAACCUCCUUGAUUUACCUGCUUCCAAACCUGAGUGGAAGUGUUAGAUGCUACUACACUUUGGUGUGGGAUAUCAAAGGUGUAGUGACUGGUAUGGACGUGCCUCCUUUAGCAGUACCAAACCCAGAUGACACCAAGUAUAUGCUGUUUGCAUAUCCAGUAGUGCUGCUGCAGAGGGUCCAGCCAGUAUGUGUGCAGGGAACUGCACUUUCAAGGAUUGCACCUUUUGCAACUGAGGGUAAUUGUCAAAUUUAGGACAAAAAGAAAGUCUUGCAAAGACUUCUUGAUAGUGAGUGAGAAGAAAUUUUACUGAGCUUGAGAUCACUGGCGCUUGGAUUACAUUAUCAAGAGUUGGCAGCCUGCUUUUUUGGGCAGAAAAGGGAAAAUUAUUCAAGAUAAGAACAGUUCUUGAUUGAUAACCAAUCUUAGAAAUUACCGCUUAGGAAACUGUCAUCCUUAGGAAACUGUCUGGUCUUCCUCCAAAACUAAUAAUCGUGCUUGUUGUUCAGGUACAAAGCUGCAUAAUGGCAGUCCAAGUUAGAUUCCACUGGAUUUCUUUUACAGAACGAUCCAGCAUUUUGCCCCUGUAGCAUUUUGACUGGCACACAAAAGCCAGCAGUUGAACCAGGGUGUCUUGUUUAACAGUGCAGAACACUAACCAUGGAUUCUGAUGUCUGUUCCCUUUCAGUCUGCUCUUCACUUUCUCCUGAGAUUUAGAGAAGGUGUCAGUGUUCAUGAUGUCAGCAGAGCGUGUUUCUGUCUCUUGAGCCUAUGUGCCAGGUUAUAAUAUAGACAGAUUGCCAAGACUUUACACCACCUAAAGAUAAAGAUAAAAGGUAACUUACUGUUCAGUGUGUCCUAUGUAAAUCCUGUCUGCUUCUCUCCAUUUCCCCUCCAAAUGAGUGUGUUUGCAGGUCAAAUAAAAGGAGGCUAGUUUGCAAUGCCGUAGGCAUGAAGAACUGCAUGGAGAAACUGAAGGAAAGCGGCACAGGCCCACAAACCAAACCUUAGAGCUAGUAUUCUAAUUAUGCAUGAUUCAAAAUGUCUAGUGUAAUGUAGUUAUUACCAGUAAAUUGAGAUAUGCAUUUAUACAUAAUGAAGCAAUAGGAAUUAAUAUACCAAUAGCUUGAACUUCCUGCUUUGAUUCUCAAAUUUUGGGUUUUUUUAGAGAAUGUGCUGCCUCUGUAGAGAAAGGGGCAGAAUGUAUAGAUAGGGACAGAAGCAUGGCACCAAAACUGUAAAUCAGGAACUAGGAUCAGCAGAACUCGCCUUUAUAACCUCUCGUCUGGUUCAUAUUAGUGUCCUGAGCAUGUAAAAAGCAGGGCAUGAACUAAGCAUGUUUAGGGGCGAGAUGAGGUUUCUCACCUGCUGCAGCUGUAGCAAGGAAAAGGGUGCAGAGUUUCUUACAAGGUGCAGGGAGGAGCAACUGGUGGGAAAGAAGAAAAACAAAGCCACAAAACAACACAGAAAAACCCACCAACAAAAAGACAACAAACCUCCAAACCAACAAACAAGUAGCAGAAACCACUCAAGUUGAGUGUAGUAUUUGCCAGACAGUAGGUAAUGAGCUUGGAUGUGGUGAUAGAAAUUAUUUGGAGAAGACUGAAAUUAAUAAGCACAGUACAUAUUUUUCAGGUGUUGAAUAGCUUUUUAAUAGACAGUAUUUUCAGGUAACUCUAGCCACAUAGGCAGCUGUACUGAAGCAUACUGGUACCAGCCAGCAAUAAUGGCACCUGCAGGAAUGAACCUGAAAAUACUGGUAAUCUUGUAUAUUUUUUAUGUUCUUUAAAGAGAUUUUUAAAAACAGAAAAUGAGGUUUGAUCGCUGAAGGUCUUUAUCUUCUGCAACACAGGUUGCAAUUGUCUUUUUUCUUUAUUUCACUUAUUAAAUAAAAGGGUAUUUGGGUGCCAUCUUUCUGUAAACUCUUAGUGUGUUCUCUGUAAUAUUCUGCAAAUCUUAGUGGAUAAUGCAGUCAAUUCUGCUGGCAGUUUGAAAAUAAGAGAAUGUGUGGCGUAACCUACAUCACUAAUACUUUUCCAAGUUUAAACUUGUAAUUAAACAUGUAGAAUACUAGCUUGUUACUGCAGAAUUCCAUACUUCUAGCUUAGCUUAAUUUUGUAAGUGGGCUUAACUUGUGCAGAACACUUCUCCAUGUACAGAGGCUCAGUCCUCUUUCUUAAAUAGAAAGAAGCGUCUUGGUGGAAGAAAUUGUAUGUCAAGUUAACUCCUAUUCAUACUUCAUGGCCAACCAUUCAUGAAGCACCGUGAUUUGGAUUUAAAACAGGGGUUGCGUUUUUCUCAUGAGUACUCCUUCUAGAUAGAUAAGAAUUGCCAAACGAAGAUAGGACUAUUAUGAGAGAAAAUAACUAUUUUAUGGUAUUAGAAAUUAGACUAAAGGAAAUCCUUUGAGCCAACUUCUUCAAGCAACAAGUAAAUCUGUAAGACAAAUUUAGCCCAGUGGUUAACCAUGGUCAUUCUUAAGUCUUUAGAACACUAUGCAUGGCUUUAAACACUGUCUUUUUUUUUGUUUUGUGAUGAGUAAGCCAUUGUAUCCUUUGUAUUUCGCUUCAGUAUAACCUGAGGAAAAAGCUACUUUAGGAUGUCAGUGAAGUUAUCCUCCUUUUGGAAAGCAUAACAGCAAAGGAGAAGUAUUGAAUAUAAAUUCUUUAAAAUUACCUUAGUACUUAAAACAAGCUAGAAAAUACUUAGACUGAACUUCUGAUGGCAUUCUUACAUGGAUUAGUGGAGGAAAUUAUUGGUGUAACUAGGAACUGUGUACUCCCAUUGCACAUGUUUUACAUGGUAACAGAGAAAGAAUGUCUCCCUGCAAAUUCUGAUGUUUUUCCAAAAGGCAGCUUGCUUUUAUAUCUAUGCAUCUUUGAGGAUUUCAAGAUAAGAAUUUAUUCUUUUGACACUGUAAAGAGGAACUGUUUAAAAAUGAACUUGGAAACUCUGCACCUGUAAACAAAUUUUUUUAGCAAUAAAGCAGCACAGGCUGAGAAUGCA
Myiozetetes cayanensis is the source of this 9697-nucleotide long non-coding RNA. RefSeq lists it as uncharacterized. NCBI's taxonomy places the organism in Eukaryota, Metazoa, Chordata, Aves, Passeriformes, Tyrannidae. The record is from RefSeq and is a predicted model, not a curated record. The transcript has 5 exons.